This 484-nucleotide ribosomal RNA is filed under the name uncultured bacterium. RNAcentral's name for it is "partial 16S ribosomal RNA". It matches the Rfam family "Bacterial small subunit ribosomal RNA", at positions 30 to 507 of the family's 1533-position model. The record is from RNAcentral.
AUUGAACGCUGGCGGAAUGCUUUACACAUGCAAGUCGAGCGGCAGCACGGGGGCAACCCUGGUGGCGAGCGGCGAACGGGUGAGUAAUACAUCGGAACAUGCCCAGUCGUGGGGGAUAACACUUCGAAAGAAGUGCUAAUACCGCAUACGUCCUGAGGGAGAAAGCGGGGGAUCGCAAGACCUCGCGCGAUUGGAGUGGCCGAUGUCAGAUUAGCUAGUUGGUGGGGUAAAGGCCUACCAAGGCAACGAUCUGUAGCUGGUCUGAGAGGAUGAUCAGCCACACUGGGACUGAGACACGGCCCAGACUCCUACGGGAGGCAGCAGUGGGGAAUUUUGGACAAUGGGGGCAACCCUGAUCCAGCCAUUCCGCGUGAGUGAAGAAGGCCUUCGGGUUGUAAAGCUCUGUCGGCAGGAACGAAACGGCGAGCUCUAACAUAGCUUGCUAAUGACGGUACCUGAAGAAGAAGCACCGGCUAACUACGUG